ACUUCUUUUUUUUUUUUUUUUUUUUUUUUUCUUUUUUUCCUUUCUUNACACCCGAGGCAUAUGGAGGUUCCCAGGCUAGGGAUCGAAUUGGAGCUGUAGCCGCCAGCCUACACCAGAGCCACAGCAACUCGGGAUCUGAGCCGGGUCUGCGACCUACACCUCAGCUCAUGGCAAUGCUGGAUCAUUAACCCACUGAGCAAGGCCAGGGAUCGAACCCGAAACCUCAUGGUUCCUAGUCGGAUUCGUUAACUACUGAGCCAUGAUGGGAGCUCCACAACUGGAACUUCUUGAAGGGAGAUUUUAAUUCCCUGCUCAGGAAUGGAAACUGGGCAGCCUGCCUGAAAACUAGGAAUCCGAGCUGUAGACCACCAGGAACUAGAAGCUAAAAGCAGAGUUGCCUUAAUUCUUGCCCCCGUUGAAGGCAAGAAUAUCUGAAGAAGGCAAAAAUUGAGUUCCUGUCUGUCUCAGUGGUAACGAACCCAGCUGGUAUCCAAGAGGAUGCAGGUUCGAUAUUAGGGCCGCAGGUAUGGCCCUAAUAUGGGAAAAAAAGGCAGAAAUUGUAAAAAUAGGUACAAAUUUAUUAUUAUGAGCCCAGUGCACAGCUCAUGUGGGAGAACAAUAUAGAAACAAAACAGGGAGUUCCCGUUGUGGUGCAGCAGAAACAAAUCCGACUAGGAACCAUGAGGCCAGGGAUCAAACCGCAACCUGGUCAGAUUUGGCCAGGGAUCAAACCGCAAAUCCUAGUCAGAUUUGUUUCUGCUGCACCACGACGGGAACUCCUCCCCUCCCAUUUGACUCCUAGGAGUCUUUGUGUGUACAUGUAGUCGGGGAGGCCUCCUUGGCCUUAUGAGUGAGAGACUGAUAUGGUUAUCGUAUCUUUCUACUCCAGCAGAGCUCAGCUCCUGCAAUUAGCUUUUUCCUUGAGAAGUCACAGAGAAGCAAGACCCGAUUUACUCAGCCUGACAAGUCCCCUGCUGUUCAGCCCAGGGGCCCAUCCAAUUCCUACCUCAGAUGAUUGAGUGGCUACAACUGAGCUGUGUUCUAAGUCCCUGGACGGGUCUGGUCCUCUGUGUGCAUCUGGUCCAGUCUGGGCUCUGUCCUUUUCACAUGGGGCCUGCUUUGAAUGUCCUCCUUCUAGACACCCUGCUCCUCUGCCUCACAUCCCUCACCCCAUUAUUAUUUUUUUUGGCGGGGGGGGGGGUUUAGGGCCACACUUGCAGCAUAUAGAAAUUCCCCGGGUAGGGGUGAAACAGAGUUGCAGCUGUGGGCAUACACCACAGCCACAGCAACGCAGAAUCUGAGCCAGAUCUGCGACCUACACCACAGCUCACAGUAAUCCCGGAUCCUUAACCCACUGAAUGGAGCCAGGGAUCGAACCUGCCUCCUCAUAGAUACUGGUCGGGUUCAUUUCUGCUGAGCCACAAUGGGAACUCCCCUCACCUUUAUUUUUUCUAUUUUAUUGUCUUUUUGCCUUUUCUAGGGCUGCUCCCUCGACAUAUGGAGGUUUCCAGCCUAGGGGUCUAAUCAGAGCUGUAGCCACCAGCCUACACCACAGCCAUAGCAACGCAGGAUCUGAGCCUCAUCUGCGAUCUACACCACAGCUCAUGGCAGUGCUGGAUCCUUAACCCACUGAGCGAGGCCAGGGAUCGAACCUGCAACCUCAUGAUUCCUAGUCAAAUUCCUUUCCACUGCGCCACGAUAGGAACUUCAGGAGUAGAUAUUAUUGUAACUCCUAUUUUACAGAUACAGAAACAGAGACAUGCAGUAACAUGCCUGUGUCACACACCAGUAAGUAGCAGAGCCAGGAGCCAAGCUUAAGUCAUCCAGAGUCUGGGGACUGCAGGGUGACAGGGUGGCGGGUGUGAGAACUGGCAGAAGGUGCAGCUGAGGGUUUUUUGGUUUGUUUGUUUUAUUGGCCGCACCCGUGGCAUGUGGAAGUUCUUGGGUCAGGGAUCGAACCUACACCACAACGGCAAGCAGCGACCAGAGCUGCUGCAAUGACCAUGCUGAAUCCUUCACCCGCUGGGCCACGGGACAACUCCGUGGGGUUUUUCCAUUAAUUUUCCACCUCGGAAUCCUCUCCUCGGCUCCUCCUCUCUCCCUGUUGCUGCCACACCUAGACCGAACUCAACCCAGGGAAUUAUUGUUUUUUUCCUCUUUGGAUUGUCUUCAGAACCACUGUUUUCUUAUUUUCUUCCAAUGCAACUGGGAGGCAGCCUGACAUUCUUUAGACACUUCACAAUAAAGGAAAGCAAAUGAGAGACAAACCAGAAACUUUAAAACAAACAAACAAACAAAAUCAGUUCCUACCUGGUGAGGCUAGUUGUUAGGCUAGCUGCACAGACAUGAAGCAUCUCUGCAGGGCCCACUCCCACUGGUGAGGGGUCCCACCCAGAACUGUUCCUCUGGGAAACUCUUGGGAGAUGUUUUGCCGUGUUGCUUAUGGGGAUAAUCCCCGAAGGCCAGGCAGGAGCUCCCAACCAGACAGGCCCAGAGUGUCCUCAGAGCUUAACACCUUCACCGCUUCCCUCACCCCGUUCCUGCUGCUCUGCUCUCCAUCCCACACCUUUGGUGCUGCUGUUUUCUGCCCAGACCUGCGCUGCCCAGGCCUCCUGGGCCACGUUCCAGGCUGCAGAAUGCUUCUGCCCUCCUUCCCUGAAGGAAACUCCUAACUGCCUGUAACGCAUGGCUCCUGGCAGAGGGCAUGGGAGACGAGCCUCUCCUGCAGAAGGCAGCACAUCAGGGGUGCAGGCCAGGGGUCCAGAGAGCUUCCCCAGCCUGCAGACCUUGAGGACUGGCCCCCUGGCUUGUUUAUCCGUCCUCAUUCCACCAGCCCAUCUUUCGGAGGCGUCUGUCUGAAGUUUCCAUACCUCCACCUUUCCUCUAAGGACUCCAGCCCUCUCCCGAGGGAAGAGGGAAACAGGAGGUGGGUGGGAGGCCCACCCUUCAGGGGCUCCUGCCUUCUUGCUUCUGAUGUCUGCCCCCCUCUGUUGGUUGAUUGAACUUAUGGUUUCUUGUCUCAUUCAACAGCUGGUUCUGUCCUAGAAGCCCAAAGAAAAGCGUGCCUGAGAAAAUAAUAAAAGAAUUCCUGUGGUAUCUGCUCACAGGAAAGUAGGAGGAAUUUAGCAGGCACGGAGGUAUUAGAAGGGGAAGGUUGUGUUAGCUGGGGGGCCAUCUGAUGCCUCUCAAGUCCUGGCCAUUGGAUUGGCCCCAGCUGCCAGUCCAGUCUUCAUUUGCAAGGCUCUACCAGGUUUGAGACACCUUGCCCCAUGCUGGGCCUUCCCGAUUGGACUCCUGUGGCCACCAGAAUCCCCUUAGCUGCUCCACAUGGUGGGUAAGGUCUGGGCUGACUCUGUGGGUAAAGAAAUCCUUCACACCAUAGCUUUCAAUGUCUCUCAGGGGACAGUAGUGUAGGGUUUGCAAAGUGGAUCCCUUAGGAAUUCUGGUUUCUGUCUGAAGCCAAGCAAUUCAAAGACAGGGUAUUCUGGCCCCUUCUGGAAGUUUAGGUGUGUUUUCAAUAAAAGAAAAAAAAAAAAAAAAAA
Molecule: long non-coding RNA, 3542 nt
Filed under: Sus scrofa (pig)
Lineage: Eukaryota; Metazoa; Chordata; Mammalia; Artiodactyla; Suidae
Description: lncRNA (ENSSSCG00055023236.1)
Source: RNAcentral